Molecule: ribosomal RNA, 460 nt
Filed under: uncultured bacterium
Lineage: Bacteria
Description: partial 16S ribosomal RNA
Rfam family: Bacterial small subunit ribosomal RNA
Source: RNAcentral
CCUACGGGAGGCAGCAGUGAGGAAUAUUGGUCAAUGGAGGAAACUCUGAACCAGCCAAGUAGCGUGAAGGAUGACGGCCCUAUGGGUUGUAAACUUCUUUUAUGUGGGAAUAAAAUGUUCCACGUGUGGGUUUUUGUAUGUACCCUAUGAAUAAGGAUCGGCUAACUCCGUGCCAGCAGCCGCGGUAAUACUGAGGAUCCGAGCGUUAUCCGGUUUUAUUGGGUUUAAAGUGAGCGUAAGUGGAUUGUUAAGUAAGUUGUGAAAGUGUGCGGCUCAAACGUAAAAUUGCAGUUGAAACUGGCAGUCUUGAGUGCAGUAGAGGUAGGCGGAAUUCGUGGUGGAGCGGUGAAAUGCUUAGAUAUCACGAAGAACUCCGAUUGCGAAGGCGGCUUACUGGACUGCAACUGACACUGAGGCUCGAAAGUGUGGGUAUCAAACAGGAUUAGAUACCCGAGUAGUC